CCUACUCAAGUGAAGACAACAAAAAUGAAGAGCCCUAUGGUGAUCUACUUCAACUUAAUGAAUGGUGCCGUGUGUGUGACCUUCUAUGAUCUGUGCAUUUGCAGAUGCAUUAUACCACAAAAGGAAGUCAAGUUGAUUACUUGGCAUCAGCCCUUCAUCACAGAUACUACUGAAAUAAAAAACCAAGGGAAUGUGAAAAAAACGGAAGGACACUGAAGCCCGUGGGGAAAUAAUGAAGUAUAAGUGCUUCAGAGAGCAGCAAGAAAUGGAAUAAUAUUUCUUCUGUGAGGACCUCAGUAAUAACAACCCAUGAGUGAUGGGACUUAUUGCAAAUGGCAAGAGUGCUGUUGGAGAAAAAAUAAAAAAUACUACACCGUGA
Molecule: long non-coding RNA, 379 nt
Filed under: Homo sapiens (human)
Lineage: Eukaryota; Metazoa; Chordata; Mammalia; Primates; Hominidae
Description: HSALNT0092386
Source: RNAcentral